RNAcentral lists this ribosomal RNA (235 nucleotides) under uncultured bacterium. RNAcentral describes it as "partial 16S ribosomal RNA". It matches the Rfam family "Bacterial small subunit ribosomal RNA", at positions 16 to 233 of the family's 1533-position model. The record is from RNAcentral.
AUCAUGCUCAGGAUGAACGCUGGCGGCGUGCUUAACACAUGCAAGUCGAACGAAGCACUUUAUUACAAUUUCUUCGGAAUGACGAUUUAGUGACUGAGUGGCGGACGGGUGAGUAACGCGUGGGUAACCUGCCUUAUACAGGGGGAUAACAGUUAGAAAUGACUGCUAAUACCGCAUAAGCGCACAGGAUUGCAUGAUCUGGUGUGAAAAACUCCGGUGGUAUAAGAUGGACCCG